GGUUGGUGGAUUGAGAUAUGUGGUUUCAUUAACAUUUGGAGGACUAUGGGAUGGCUGGCCACCUUGGAUCGGGUGAUGUUUUUAUUGCCUGGCAAAGAAGCGGAAUGGUCAAUGCUAUGUUGAUAGUCUCAUGGAAUGUUCGAGGGACGGGAUCACUUGAAAAGCAAAGAGCCAUCAGAGAUCUCAUUUCCAGCUCAAACUGUGAUAUUAUUUUGAUCCAAGAGGCGAAGGUGGUGGCACCCUCAUCCAAUUUUUUUGUUUCUAUGGGUGGUGCGAAGCUAGAUGAAUGGUGUUGUU
Molecule: long non-coding RNA, 297 nt
Filed under: Elaeis guineensis (African oil palm)
Lineage: Eukaryota; Viridiplantae; Streptophyta; Magnoliopsida; Arecales; Arecaceae
Description: long non-coding RNA (EGUI_LNC044842)
Source: RNAcentral